UAUUGAAGUUGAGCAGCUAUCAGGUGACAGUGAAACUGAUUCCCUACAGAAGCCACCAGACCACCAGAAGAGCCCGUUUCAUCCAAAUUCAACUGCCUCGGUCAGGUCUAAUAUUGAGGGAGGAGAUCCAGUGAAGAAGAUCCAAUGAUUCCAGUAGAUGACGAGCCUCCCAGCGUGAGUUCCAGGAACCCGGAUCUACAUUGCCGCUGAAUCAGCCGAAUGAACUAUCUGCUUUGAGAUGGAGGUGAACCUGACCAGCUCAGCCUCCACGGUGGACCACACUGGGAGACCUCACAUGUUAUCUACGCCCAUCAGACACCCAUUCAGCCAGAGGGUCCUUCAAGCGUGCAAUUUCUACAACACAGCCCGAGACAGACUGCAUGCCAUAUGACCAGUCAACAAAGAAGUGAGACAGAUAAGUGUACCUCUGCACAAAUUCCCUUUUACAAUCAGUGAAACUGCAUUACACAGAGGUGACUCAGUGAACAUUUGCUACAAAGGAGGUGUUGGCGCCAAGUCUGCUGGAAUACUACGUGUGUUACUCACACCACAGCUGCUGAGAUUAAUCUUCACCGUCUGAUCCAAGAGUUUAAAAAAAGCAUGUUAAGUUAAAAACAAAAAGA
Sebastes umbrosus (honeycomb rockfish) is the source of this 623-nucleotide long non-coding RNA. RefSeq lists it as uncharacterized. NCBI's taxonomy places the organism in Eukaryota, Metazoa, Chordata, Actinopteri, Perciformes, Sebastidae. The transcript is spliced from 3 exons. The record is from RefSeq and is a predicted model, not a curated record.